GACGAACGCUGGCGGCGUGCCUAAUACAUGCAAGUAGAACGCUGAAGCUUGGUGCUUGCACCGAGCGGAUGAGUUGCGAACGGGUGAGUAACGCGUAGGUAACCUGCCUGGUAGCGGGGGAUAACUAUUGGAAACGAUAGCUAAUACCGCAUAAGAGUAGAUGUUGCAUGACAUUUGCUUAAAAGGUGCAAUUGCAUCACUACCAGAUGGACCUGCGUUGUAUUAGCUAGUUGGUGAGGUAACGGCUCACCAAGGCAACGAUACGUAGCCGACCUGAGAGGGUGAUCGGCCACACUGGGACUGAGACACGGCCCAGACUCCUACGGGAGGCAGCAGUAGGGAAUCUUCGGCAAUGGACGGAAGUCUGACCGAGCAACGCCGCGUGAGUGAAGAAGGUUUUCGGAUCGUAAAGCUCUGUUGUAAGAGAAGAACGAGUGUGAGAGUGGAAAGUUCACACUGUGACGGUAUCUUACCAGAAAGGGACGGCUAACUACGUG
RNAcentral lists this ribosomal RNA (497 nucleotides) under uncultured bacterium. RNAcentral describes it as "partial 16S ribosomal RNA". It matches the Rfam family "Bacterial small subunit ribosomal RNA", at positions 28 to 507 of the family's 1533-position model. The record is from RNAcentral.